Molecule: RNA transcript, 540 nt
Organism: Nelumbo nucifera (sacred lotus)
Lineage: Eukaryota; Viridiplantae; Streptophyta; Magnoliopsida; Proteales; Nelumbonaceae
Source: RefSeq, a predicted model, not a curated record
GAAAGUUUUUAUUUGAAGGAGAUCCGGACUCUCGCUCAUAGUCCGAUCUCUCAUAUGUCUUUAAACACCGCAUCCAACCGUACAUCACGAAUAUCUCCUGUGCGUCAGAUUUUCCCACCACCCGGAUCUCCUGCAAGCAAAAGCUCAGCACACACCGCUCAAGUGGAGGGACAAUUCCUCCGUUUGGAUGUGGCGCCUGCAUUCGCUUCGUCUCAGUCCUACGUUUUUGGAGUUGCAACAAUACAGGAAGAACACUAAGUGCAUGAGAACUUAUGCGACUGAGCAAGGAAUGGUGUGAUGGAGGCUAAGGUGGUCUUUGGCAGUUGAAUGAUGGAUGAAACCGAACUAAAGAAAGGAUCUUUUGGAAAUUCAACUCACGAAUACCGUGGCAUUUUAACAGCGUAGUUAUAUGGAAAGAGGAUCUAAAUGAAGGGUAUAUUGUGAUGCAGAUGGGUCAAGAUGCCGCAUUAUUGAUAAAAGCUGUAUUAAACUUGUUACUAGUUAUUAUGAUGUUGAAAGCAUUUCUUACAACCCUUAUCA